GAAAAGAAAAAUACUGUUUGUCUGGGGCUCUGGGCUAUCCAGGGCGCUGCAUUCAUUUGUACUAGCAGAAAUGGAAUAUAUAUAUAUAUAUAUAUAUAUAUAUAGAGGUAAAUUACUUUUUACACGCACGAGUAUCUACUCCGACGUAGCUACACGCGUGAAUUCUUCCCUCUCGCACGGAGCAGGAGCGGGAUUUCAUACCGGAUCAACCCGUUAGUCGUGGUACCUCUCUAUUAUUUUGGGCAGACCCGUGGAAGAAACCAUUUUAAUUUCCUGUUUCUUUUUUAUGCGUCGUCCAGCAGCCUCCCAUCCAUGGAUCCACCGGCGGCGGCGCAAACCUCCUUCCCACCGGCGUCGGCGAGCCUCGCCCUCAACAGCCGCGGCGGGCCUCGCCCCACCCCCAUCGGCGGCAGCACGGUCAGGUCAGCGCGCUCGGUGGCCCUCCUCCUCUAGCAGAUCCAGUCGCGAGCGGCUCGCCUCGUGCCGUCGUGCGGAUGCGACUCGUCUGUGGUGCGGCUCCACCGCAAGCCAACGACGGCAGUUGCCUCUUUCCCUAGCGGAUCCACCGCACAAGGCUCGUCCUCUUCAUCAACUAUGGCGUCAGGGCUCCAUCCCACCACUGAUGGCGGCUCCGGCAUCAGCGGGCAGGCAGCCUUUGGCUGGCGGCAUGGCCAUCGGCGACUGGGGACAGAUCAGGUGGUGCUGACCCUCUUCCCUGAUCAAUGGUGGCCUUCCUUCCUCUGGCUACUACAGCGACCCUUCCUAUGCCAUGGUCUUUUUGAUGCAGGUGCCUUCCUAUGCUAUCGUGUGGCUGCAGCAAGUAUGAAUAUGCACCUCAUCUAACAUAUACUGUGUUUUGUUUUUCUUCAUGCGUUAUGUUUUUGUUUUUGCCUUUUGGAUGCCGAGCGUAGAGAUGGAUCGAUGUUCCACAAUCAUAGUUCAUGCCCACAAAUUUUAAUGUUUUCUGCUGCCUAUAUAUAUCUCGACUUUCUCAUGAAAUUGAAUCUAGCUGCAGAGAGCCAGAGAUGGAGCAGCAAAGGUUUCUGUGCAGUUUAUUUUUUAUUUUUAAGCUUCUUGAGCCAGCAACAUAUGUAUUCGUAUCAAAGUAAACAUGUAUGUACUCAUACUCCAUAUAACCAUGUAUAUAGUUUCAUACUCACAAAGAUGUAUAUACUCAUACUCCCACUGUAUAUGUAUAUGUAUAUGCUCAUAUUCCUUUUGUCUAAUUUGAUGCUUCUAUGUUGACGGAAAUACACAUCAAAGAAAUUUAGCAUGCAGGCAUAUAUGGUGGGUGUCCUCGCUAAUCUCAUGUCAUAGUAUCAGUUACUGUAUGUAUUUAUGUAGUUCAUUUACAGGUCUUGCAAGUUUGGAAUGAUGUAAUGUCAUAUUCUUAUACUCGUUUGCAUAUAUCCAUACUCAAGUUGUUCUCUGCCCACACGUAUGUAUCCAUACUCACAAUAAACAUGUAUGUACUCAUACUCCAUAUAAACAAGUAUGAUUUUCAUACUCAUAAACAAGUAUGAUUUUCAUACUCAUAAACAAGUAUGUUCUGCAUGGCGUAUGUACUAAUACUC
Molecule: long non-coding RNA, 1574 nt
Filed under: Sorghum bicolor (sorghum)
Lineage: Eukaryota; Viridiplantae; Streptophyta; Magnoliopsida; Poales; Poaceae
Description: long non-coding RNA (SBIC_LNC015523)
Source: RNAcentral